Molecule: long non-coding RNA, 677 nt
Filed under: Mus caroli (Ryukyu mouse)
Lineage: Eukaryota; Metazoa; Chordata; Mammalia; Rodentia; Muridae
Description: predicted gene 14246 (MGP_CAROLIEiJ_G0005516.1)
Source: RNAcentral
GCAUAGGCACAGGUAUGCGCUCACACAUUAAUUUCUAAUGAAGGAAGCAGUCUUUGGCUAAGGAUGGAUGGGGUCUCAUGAACAAACAACCCACUCCAGUGUUGCGUGCCAUUGAGAGGCAACACAGAGUCUCACAAUGUCCUCAACAGGAGUAUGUUCUAGUCACUCAAGGCAUUAUCUUGCUGACUGCUGCACCAUUUAAUGACUGUUCUCUUUCUGGUCUCCUUUGAUGAGUCCUCUGUUCUGUCUUCAUCUCCAAGAUGACCAUUUGCCUUGAAACCCAUGCUUCAAGGUCUUUGCCCCAAGGGAAUCCAGAACCAGGUACUGCCCUGUGAGGGAGAAAGAUUUUUAUUGACUCCCUUAGUUUAGACCAAAAAAGAAAUGGAACCAGAGAAAGGUUGGCUAACUUGUGGAAGAUGAAAUGGCUGGAAAGAGACAAACCUUGGCAUCAAACUCAGGCUCAAAGUCUGUGUGGUAAACCCACUCCUGGGAGAACCACACAAUCACAGAGUGCUCUAGCUGCAUUUCCCUGGCUCUUGGAAACAGACUACAGGGCUAGGCCUCUUCUAAUCCAAGCAUCUCAACCAACAUCACAGAAGCAGAACGAAUAUUACAUGGUUCUCUGACCAUCCACCAUGUUUUAUUUCCAACUGAUCUCUCUCUGAAUUCCCUACUCU